GCAGGUAUCGUAUAAGGGCAUUACCUCAGCCUUCCAAGCUGAUGAUGCGAGUUCGAGUCUCGCUACCCGCUCCA
Molecule: transfer RNA, 74 nt
Filed under: Caudoviricetes sp.
Lineage: Duplodnaviria; Heunggongvirae; Uroviricota; Caudoviricetes
Description: tRNA-Gly
Rfam family: tRNA
About the family: Transfer RNA (tRNA) molecules are approximately 80 nucleotides in length. Their secondary structure includes four short double-helical elements and three loops (D, anti-codon, and T loops). Further hydrogen bonds mediate the characteristic L-shaped molecular structure. tRNAs have two regions of fundamental functional importance: the anti-codon, which is responsible for specific mRNA codon recognition, and the 3' end, to which the tRNAs corresponding amino acid is attached (by aminoacyl-tRNA synthetases). tRNAs cope with the degeneracy of the genetic code in two manners: having more than one tRNA (with a specific anti-codon) for a particular amino acid; and 'wobble' base-pairing, i.e. permitting non-standard base-pairing at the 3rd anti-codon position.
Source: RNAcentral